Long non-coding RNA from Lynx canadensis (Canada lynx), 680 nucleotides. RefSeq lists it as uncharacterized. The record is from RefSeq and is a predicted model, not a curated record. NCBI's taxonomy places the organism in Eukaryota, Metazoa, Chordata, Mammalia, Carnivora, Felidae. The transcript is spliced from 2 exons.
UGUGACUUGUUAAAUUCAUUUACCAGUUCUAGCAGUUUGGUAAAAAUUUUUUGAUAGAUUCCUUGGGAUUUUCUACACAAUUAUGUUGCCUGCACAAAGGCACAGUUUUAUUUUUUCCUUCCUAAUCUGUGUGCUUUAGUGGUGUCCCGGAACCCUAGGAGCCCCUGGAAGGUCUUAAACACUCUGAUGACCCUGUGGAGCAUGUAGCAUCGUGGACCCACUGUUUUCCAGCAUUUCUGCUUUUAAAAGAGAAGCCAGGAGUGAAAUGGCUCAUGUGUACAUGUAGGCAACAACCUCCACUUAAAUAAAUAUUGUGAUCCAAGCAAAACCUAUUCAUAAGUUCAUGCAACUCUCGGAUGCAGUCUGUGACCGUGUUCAUCGCCAUCGGACAUCAGAAUGCAUGGAUAGAGUAUGGUGACAGUGACCCUGUGUGACUUCUGAGGCCAGGCCCAAAGGAACCCUGGAGCUCCAUCCUCCAUUUCUUGAAAUGUUUGUUUUGGACACUCUCCUUCUCAGAACCCAGGUCCACAUGGAGAGGCCUCCUGUAGGAUCUCAGGUCAACUAUCAAGAUUGAGAUCAACCUGGCACAUGCUCUAGACACGCAGAAAAGAAGCUUCCAGAUGACAGUAGCACCCAGCCAUUUAGGUUCCCCCCCACCCCCCCGCCUCCACUGCCAUUAU